ACCAGCUCUGACGAUGAACAGUUCCCACCAACAAAGACCCCACAGGAGGAAGAUGAGGAGAUCUCACAAAUAUGGCAAAGCUUGUUGGACUCUAUCUCGAUACCAAACUCUAUAAUGCAGGAGCCAGCAGCAGAGGCUGUAACAGCUGAAGAACCUGAGAAGUGCAUCAAUACUAGCAUCCCGCCGUCACCUAUUGAGCUUUGGAAUAUGGCUUCUGCAAGUAACAUUCACAUUCAGGCUCCUGAAGCAUUGGCAAACAAUCAGCCGGCGCAUCUCACCCUGAAAAAUCUUCUUGGACUGUCGAUUGAUGAAACACAGC
Molecule: long non-coding RNA, 319 nt
Organism: Elgaria multicarinata webbii
Lineage: Eukaryota; Metazoa; Chordata; Lepidosauria; Squamata; Anguidae
Exons: 3
Source: RefSeq, a predicted model, not a curated record